GACGAACGCUGGCGGCGUGCUUAACACAUGCAAGUCGAACGAAGUGGCGAACGGGUGAGUAACGCGUAAUCAACCUGCCCUUCAGAGGGGUACAACAGUUGGACACGACUGCUAAUACCGCAUCCCGAAGGAGGGGUUUGCGUAUGAGUAGCUAGGUGGAUGGGUAACGGCCCACCAAGGCGAUGAUCAGUAGCCGGGCUGAGAGGGUGAACGGCCACAUGGGGACGGAGUCAAGGCCCAGACUCCUACGGGAGGCAGCAGGUGGGAAUCGUCCGCAAUGGACGAAAGUCUGACUGGGCAACGCCGCGUGAGUGAGGACGGCCUUCGGGUUGUAAAGCUCUGUUAAUCGGGACGCGGUACCGGAAUAGAAAGCCACGGCUAACUACGUGCCAGCCGCCGCGGUAAUUC
This 408-nucleotide ribosomal RNA is filed under the name uncultured bacterium. Its description in RNAcentral is "partial 16S ribosomal RNA". It matches the Rfam family "Bacterial small subunit ribosomal RNA", at positions 28 to 526 of the family's 1533-position model. The record is from RNAcentral.